GUUAAUCGUAUACUCAGUGCAUUUAAUACCAGACACAACGUUGGAUUGUUUGGAAUAUUAUUGCGUUACAUAGGACGUAAGAUCAGAAUUGGCUUUUUUCCUUCUGCCAUUGACCGUACUAUAGUGCACAUGUCUCUCGAUUUUGGUCUCUGUUGUUCUCAAUGAUGAGCCGCUAACGACAUACAGCCCGGUUUUUUGGACAUCCAGACCAUCGGAUGGAUCUUAUCGGAGACCGCAUAUUCUUUUCUUAUUUUAUAAUUUUGUUUAUAUAAUGGUUGGGUGUGGUACUCCUUCUAGAAUCAGUCUCCUAUCUGUAAAGACAGUCCGCAGGUCACAUUGUCUAGGGCGGAACCCCAACUAGACGAAGCCUAAUUAGACAACAUUUUACGUUGACUGUCUGUUUUCGUUUUAAUAUCAUUUACAAGAUGACUAAUAUUGGAUAACAAAGGCUAUAGCCACUGUGAAAUGUCAAUGAAAAAAUACAAUGAACAUAUGCAUAAUAUUUUUAGUGAAAACGAAAAAUUAUUUAUAUUAGAAUUGUUACUUUAAUUGUAAUAAGCUUUUAAUAAAAAAAAAGAGCUAUAUCUCCUAAAAAUGAAAAAUAAA
This is a long non-coding RNA of Daktulosphaira vitifoliae (grape phylloxera), 606 nucleotides long. RefSeq lists it as uncharacterized. Lineage: Eukaryota; Metazoa; Arthropoda; Insecta; Hemiptera; Phylloxeridae. The transcript is spliced from 5 exons. The record is from RefSeq and is a predicted model, not a curated record.